UCGAACGGAACUGUUUUGAAAGAUUUCUUCGGAAUGAAUUUGAUUUAGUUCAGUGGCGGACGGGUGAGUAACGCGUGAGUAACCUGCCUUCAAGAGGGGGAUAACAUUCUGAAAAGAAUGCUAAUACCGCAUGACAUAUCGGAAUCACAUGGUUUUGAUAUCAAAGAUUUUAUCGCUUGAAGAUGGACUCGCGUCCGAUUAGUUAGUUGGUGAGGUAACGGCUCACCAAGACCGCGAUCGGUAGCCGGACUGAGAGGUUGAACGGCCACAUUGGGACUGAGACACGGCCCAGACUCCUACGGGAGGCAGCAGUGGGGGAUAUUGCGCAAUGGGGGCAACCCUGACGCAGCAACGCCGCGUGAAGGAUGAAGGUUUUCGGAUUGUAAACUUCUUUUAUUAAGGACGAAAAAUGACGGUACUUAAUGAAUAAGCUCCGGCUAACUACGUGCCAGCAGCCGCGGUAAUACGUAGGGAGCAAGCGUUGUCCGGAUUUACUGGGUGUAAAGGGUGCGUAGGCGGCUUUGCAAGUCAGAUGUGAAAUCUAUGGGCUCAACCCAUAAACUGCAUUUGAAACUGUAGAGCUUGAGUGAAGUAGAGGCAGGCGGAAUUCCCCGUGUAGCGGUGAAAUGCGUAGAGAUGGGGAGGAACACCAGUGGCGAAGGCGGCCUGCUGGGCUUUAACUGACGCUGAGGCACGAAAG
This 700-nucleotide ribosomal RNA is filed under the name uncultured bacterium. RNAcentral's name for it is "bacterial SSU rRNA". It matches the Rfam family "Bacterial small subunit ribosomal RNA", at positions 62 to 759 of the family's 1533-position model. The record is from RNAcentral.